AGUCUCGCGACUCCUGCUUGCUGGGCGCGGCUUGGGCCUCCAGGCUGCGCAGCGCAGCCGCUAUCGGGCGGACUGCAGUUCUUGCCGAGCAGUCGCAAUGAUUUGUAUGACAGCUGCUAGCCCAAGAGAGAGUUCCAGAAGAGGGCUACCUAACAGGUGCUGUGGCAUUUAGAAGAGGAAUGGAGCCAUUGUCAACGCACAGCUUGCAGGGGAGCAGGAGAGUCAGUCUAAGAAGGAAAUGUGAUGAUGGAAACAGAGGUUGGAAGAUGGAAGAGGACCCAGAGUCAAGGAAUGCAGGUAGAAAAGAAAAGCCUGGAUUCUCCCCUAAAGCCUCCAGAUGGAACACAGCCCUGCCUCCACCUUGAUUUCAGGACUUCUUACCCCAAGAAUCAAGAUGUCAGUACCAUGGAAUGACAUGACCAACAAUAAUAUGUUGCAACUCUGAGAUACAGCUAGAAAUUCUCCGAAUAAGAUGCUGAUGGUCCUGCAGUCCAAUGCUGUGUGAUUUUCACUGUGGCCAGCUAUACAAGACUUAGCGUAUACUUCUCUCUGUGUAACUGUAAAAAAUUUUGUAAGUCUAAGAGGGUAAUAUAUUCUUUCAUAAAACCUCAAUCUAGUGAGUUCUAAUCAUUCUUGAUCUUUCUCAAAUAAAUACUAGUCAAAUCUUUCCCAAUAACUAAGUAACUAAGCAUUCACGUUUUACAACUGUAAUGUAGUUUUGGUAUGAGAAAACUAUUUCCUGGUCUCCAGGAUCUAGAAAGUAAACAUGUAACAAACAAUUAGGAAUGUGGUAUCGGGUAGUCAGAUGUUCUACACGUCUCCAGCCUAAGCUGUCCACUUCGGAUUUCUUGCUCUUUUCCUUUUUGCUUAAGCAUAUCUUGGUAUGUUGCCUGGAAGUUUAUGUGUGUUACUACAGCAGAACAAAGAAUUAUGUAAUAUAAAGCCCAACUUGUUUUUCUUUUCCCUACCAGCUGUACUAUAACUUAGACAAAACUCAACCAUUUUCUUUCAUUAUGUACAGUGGCUAUUAAAAAGAAAGGAUGUAGAAAAAUUUUUUUCAGGAAACAGUGGAAAACUAAUGCGUCAUGAUCUGCUUAACAGGGGACUGUAAAUAGAAGCAAGUCCAGAUCAUGGAAAUUGCUUCUUUAAAAUAUUUUUUUUCAAUUUUAAAAGGAAUACAUUCACAUGGUUUAAAAAAACCCCUCAAACUAAAGAAGAAUACAGAAUAAGAAGUAAAAGUUCUACCCUCCAACCUACUACCCCAACUCCUGAAUCCCACUGCCAAGAGAAACAGUCAUUUGUUGUGCAUCUUUCUAGAAGAAUUCUAUGCAUAUUACAGAGGUGUCACAAAUACCCACAUGCUUUCUUCCCUUACAAGCUCUGUGACUUGAUUUUUCUCUUUACUGUGCUUUAAGCAUCUUUGCAUAUUAGUAAACAUAUACACCUCAGUUAAAAAAAAUCAACAGCUGGGUGUAGUGGUGCAUACCUGUAGUCCCAGCAAUUUGGGAGGCAGAGAGGCAGGAAGAUCCCCUGAGCCCAGGAAUUCUAAUCUACCCUGGGCAUCUUGGCAAGACCCUGUCUCUUAAGAAAAAAACUAUCGCAAGAACAAAAAACCAAACACCGCAUAUUCUCACUCAUAGGUGGGAAUUGAACAGUGAGAUCACAUGGACACAGGAAGGGGAAUAUCACACUCUGGCGACUGUUGUGGGGUGGGGGGAGGGGGGAGGGAUAGCAUCGGGGGAUAUACCUAAUGCUAGAUGACGAGUUAGUGGGUGCAGCGCACCAGCAUGGCACGUGUAUACAUAUGUAACUAACCUGCACAAUGUGCACAUGUACCCUAAAACUUAAAGUAUAAUAAAAAAAAAAGAAAAAAAUCAAAAGCUUUAUAGUAUUCUGUUGAGUAAGAGUAUUAUUAUUUGUUUAUACAACCUCUUUUUGGUGAACAUUUGAAUUGUGUUUAGAUAGUUACUAAUGCAAACAAUACUUCCAGUGAACUUUUGUAAAUAUAUAUUUGUAUAUAUAAGAGAAUAAAUCUUAUACCUGCAGAGUAAAUUUCUAAAAGUGAAUCACUAAUUCUGAGAUUAUGUGCAUCUCCAGAGAUGUUAACAAACAUACACACCCAGCAACAGUGCAAGACAGUGUAUUUCCCAACUGCUCCCUCACUGAGAUUUUUAAAAAACAUAUAAAUACUAUUAUAAGUUACCUCUGGAGUUAAAGAAUAACUUUUGCUUUUUACUUUCAUAGACAUCUGUACUAUGUAAACUUGAUAUAGUGAGGAUGUUUUCUUUUGUAAUUAAAAGAUUAAAGAGAUUCAGAAUACUUGUUUGUAAUUGGUUUUGGAAUGAAAUUUCACUUGGAAAAUAAAGGCCUAGAAUAUGAGACUAUUCAUCAAUAGAAAACCAUUGUAGGGAGCAGUUAACAGGUAAAGCUCUAUUUAAUAAGGGCAAGCUGAUGGC
This 2456-nucleotide long non-coding RNA is filed under the name Homo sapiens (human). RNAcentral describes it as "HSALNT0294990". Lineage: Eukaryota; Metazoa; Chordata; Mammalia; Primates; Hominidae. The record is from RNAcentral.